UUCAGAAGGAGUCGAAGUUCUGGAAGAAAAUUGUCUACCCACUGCAUGGAAGGGGAUUGGAAGCAGGCUUCAUGGGCGGCAGCCGGAGGUGGAAAUAGACAAGGGAGUCCAAAGUCAGUGUGCAGAAGCUGUGCAACCAAGCUGGAGGAAAAGAAAGCGCGAGGAACUCCCACCAGACUGAAACCCUUUUUGUUGCUCGCGUGUCACAGAGCCUUCAUUCUGUUCCUGAGGAAGAAAUAGUAUCCAGAAGGAUUCCCGAAAAGCUGGACAAUUAGAUCUACUUUCUUGCCUGAAGAAGUGGAGACAACGGAAC
Molecule: long non-coding RNA, 313 nt
Organism: Globicephala melas (long-finned pilot whale)
Lineage: Eukaryota; Metazoa; Chordata; Mammalia; Artiodactyla; Delphinidae
Source: RefSeq, a predicted model, not a curated record